This 934-nucleotide long non-coding RNA is filed under the name Cricetulus griseus (Chinese hamster). Its description in RNAcentral is "lncRNA (ENSCGRG00015033428.1)". Lineage: Eukaryota; Metazoa; Chordata; Mammalia; Rodentia; Cricetidae. The record is from RNAcentral.
GUAAACUUCAAUUUAAGAAGAGAAUAGAAACUGCAAAACACAAACAUCACCUCCAACUCCCUAGUAGCCCAGAGAACCUACAAAACUGCAAACUUUCAUCGGUUGCUUCCUUUGGCCUCACUGCAGCUCAAGAGGUAGGGACUCUCUGGAUUCACUGAUGGGAAGCCACUGAGCCAAGCACACACAGAAACCCAGGGACAGUGACUUCCCAGUAGUCACUGCAGAACCGGGGGUUCUCCUCCAGCUCCCUGGCUGGGAGCUGGUGAGGUCAGGCUUGGGGAACGUCUGUGCAACCGCAAGGCAGGAGUUAAUGACUGAGGAGCUUGGAAUGUGGUGGUUCUGAAAGGGCCUCUUGUGGCCCCACGGUUAGAGCAGGAAGGGACUUUCAAGUCACGUACACACACUGCACUGGAGUCCUGGGCCCUGCUCUGCUGCUACAGUGUGAGGAGAAGGCAGGGUAAUCUCUUUUGUAGCAGGAGGAUGUAUGCAGUCAGGUUGGACCCAGCACUCUGGCAUCACAGGCGUUCACUACCACCACCACCACUACCACACCUGUUUCUGUGACGUUAUCGUAUGUAUAUCUCCAGCAAUCCUGAGACGUAGUUAUCACUAUGUCUCCAUUUCACAAACGAGGAAACAGGAGCUCAGAGAGAUUGGGUGAGUCAUCCAGGACAUGCAGUGGAUGGUCAGCCUGUCCAGAAUUCAAACCCAGAACCCAGAGCUUUCUGAGUCCACCAUGUACGUAUUCAUAUUCUUUCUGUGGUCUCACUGCUCCCAAGACUCUUCUCUCUCCCUCCUCUACCCCCCACCCCAUGCACACACCUGCAUUUCUCUUUCUGGCAAACUGCUAUGAUUUCUCUCCAGGAAGACAGGCAUUUCAUAGAAUUGGAGCAAGGGAAAGGCACUAGGCUAGUGACCUUCUGCAGAUGCUGCG